This 200-nucleotide long non-coding RNA is filed under the name Salvia miltiorrhiza (redroot sage). RNAcentral's name for it is "long non-coding RNA (SMIL_LNC012731)". Lineage: Eukaryota; Viridiplantae; Streptophyta; Magnoliopsida; Lamiales; Lamiaceae. The record is from RNAcentral.
UGGUUGCAUCCCCCCGGGUCUUCCAUGCUCCGUGCAGGGUGUUCUUUCAAUCGUAAGCCGCGAAAGUUGGUUGCACCCCCCGGGUCUUCCAUGCUCCGCGCAGAGGGUUACUAUUUAAUCGUAAGCCGUGAAAGUUGGUUGCACCCCCCGGGUCCUCCAUGCUCCGCGCAGAGUGUUCAAGCUUGGAUGGGAAGCAGCAA